This 1986-nucleotide long non-coding RNA is filed under the name Musa acuminata (dwarf banana). RNAcentral's name for it is "long non-coding RNA (MACU_LNC006454)". The record is from RNAcentral. Lineage: Eukaryota; Viridiplantae; Streptophyta; Magnoliopsida; Zingiberales; Musaceae.
UUUCUACUCAAGAUAAUAUCUUUAGUUAACAAAAAACAUUCACAUCUCUUUUUACUGUUUAUAGUAAAGUUGUCUUAUAUCUCGGUCUACCUUUCACACCACUAAUACUAGUCGGCUUCCCCCGCAUAACCACAAAUCUACAUGUCUCCUUUGAGCAUGUCCCUAUCAUCUUCAGACAAUAAUACCUCAUUUUAUUAUCCAUCAGAACUUAAUUGUCCUGCAUAUACAUAUGAACAUUUUUCAUCUUAACCGCACAAACUUUAUGUAUAUAUUUUUACCAUUCAACAUUCAAAUGCAUAAAGUAUGACUGAACUAACAAUUAUUUCAUAUUACUUUUCUUUUAUCUAACAAGCAUUCGAUGAUCACACAAAAUACCCAACACCCCCUCUUAACUUUGACAACCCAAUUUUUAUUCUGUGAAUAAUAUUUUCAUCAAUCUCUGCCUAUUUAUUUCGCAUCUUAUUCUAUCUUCAGCAUUUCCAAAGUUCCAUAGUAGGACACAUUAGUUCAAUUCCUUUAUAUUUAGACCAACUUCAAAUAUCUUAUUCCUAUAAAUUGAUAUUAGAAAACUCUUUCUUUGUUCAUUAUACAUCAAGUAUCUUUUGAUAUCCAUCUUUUAUACACUUAAUGUUACCUAAAGUUUUUAUUUUUUCCUAGCUUUAGCAAUCCAAAAAGAUAUUUCUCUUCAUCCUUAACACAGAUGACCAUAAAAACUAACAAAAUCCAUAUUGUACUAUGAAUUAGCAUGAACUAAUGGUGAAAAUAGGGUGACAAUGUUAUAUUUUGUAGCAGCAAAUUCUCAAGCAUAACUCUUGGUGCUCCAACAUAAUAAUCCAGAUAAUAAAGUGUAAGUCAACCUAAUUCUCCACCCACCUCUUAAUAAUCUGAAUCCUAUGUAAUAUAUUUGUUUGAACACUUAAAGGGUUUCAAAACUUCUUUUAAAAUAGAUAUCUGGUUUCAAAUCUUCUUAUACAAUAGAUAUCCAGAAUACAUUGAUAACAAAUCAGCAGGAAUGAACAGAAAAAAUUGUCACAACAAUGAGUGGUGUUUAUGCUUCUAUAGACCUGAUGAUCACUGUGUUAGGCAGCAAAACCAACCUACUUCAGCAUGUUCAACCAGAAGCACAUCGUCACUUGAGCCAAAUAAUGCCAUACUCCCAUGGGAAAUGUUUAUUUGACCACCAAAACGGCAUCAAAUGUUUUAAAAAUUAUUCUGCCUCUUGGUAUUCUGUUAACAUUUAAUGUUUUUUGAUGUUGUAUAAGUAUUGUCAAACAAAAAUGAGAAAGUAAUAAGGCGAAUCUCCAUUCUAAGUUUCAGUAUAUCUGAGAGCUAGUAAUUCAGGAAAGCUGUGCAUUUCCUAUGUUGAGUAAAUUUAACCAACACCAUGGAGGUCAUAACCAAGGUCUGAAAUUUCGUACCGUACCAAAGUUUCGACGAUCGUUCGGUACGGUACAAAACGGUAUACCGAGCGGUAUACCGUUCGAUAUACCGCUCGGUAUAUAUAUAUAUUAUAUAAUAUAUAUAACUCGACGACGUCGCUUCGGCGACAUUGCCUCUCUCUUCUCCCAAGAGGGGCGACGUCGCCUCGUUUAUAUUUAUAUAAAAAUUAAUAUAUAUAUAUAUAUAUAUAUAUAUAUAUAUAAGGUUAUAUAUAUAUAUUUAUAUAUUUUUUUUUUAUUUAAAAGGCGACGUCGUCUUUUCCUUCCCCACGCGAGGCGACAUCGCCUCGUUUAUUUAAAUAAAUAUAUAUAUAUAUAUAUAAUCCGAAAAAGGCGACGUCGUCGAACGUCACCUUUUUCUAAUAUAUAUAAAUAUAUAUUAUUUUAUUAUUAUUUUUCAUUCCACCCAGUAGUAGGCGGUCCGUGCAUCGGUAUGCCGUCGGACCGGUACACACCGCCCGUACCGGGCAAUAUCAUUCGAUAUUGCCUUCCUUGGACAUAACAAAGUUUUACAAAUGGUAAAGUUGCUAGUGAUACUUAUAUAGUC